Mytilus trossulus (common blue mussel) is the source of this 1292-nucleotide long non-coding RNA. RefSeq lists it as uncharacterized. Lineage: Eukaryota; Metazoa; Mollusca; Bivalvia; Mytilida; Mytilidae. The transcript is spliced from 5 exons. The record is from RefSeq and is a predicted model, not a curated record.
AAUAUUUGAAAUUCAAUGUUAAAAAUAAACGUGAAAAAAAACAUUAUUUACAAGAUACUGAUAUGUAUGGUAGGAUUUAUAGUCUGGUUUUUGCUGACUUGUCCUGAAAUAAACAUAGAGAGUGUACGGAUCUGGCAAAAUUGUGAUGAUGAUCAAAUUUAUAUACUGUCAGCAGUAGCUGAGCCAAAAUUGAUAUGGAAUUUAGUUGAAUAUAUAGUACUUAACGUACUUGACGGAUCUGUGGGCAUUACGUUUGACUGUUGUAUUUAAGGAAGGAAACAUGAGACGGCCUACAGAACAAUGGCACACAUCAAACACAAAUACACAGUUGAUAAGAGGGAUGUCAAAAUGUUUGCCACAUAGUAUUAUUGCAGCUGUCAGGAUAUAAACUUUAAACCAUUGCACAUAAUGUUAAUAGAAAGGCAUGCAAUUUGCAACCCUGGAGCAAAAAUGAAUACUGUAUUAUACCCAGAAAUGAAGGAAAAUUCGACAGCAAUAUGUACCAAAGUUGCUUUUAAUUAUCUCAAUCCAAAACACCUUAUAGAGUGGUUUGAAUAUCAGAAGCUAAUGGGUGUUGACACAGUGCUAAUAAUGUUACAGACCUUGAACUCUGAAGCUUACGCAGUUUUUAAGCACUACGAAAUGGAAGGAAUUGUUCAGUUGCUGUCAUUCCCAGAUGUUUUACCGGGAUGCAUUGAUCGUGGGUUUGACAAAAACCGGUGGCAUAUGUUUCAAAGUGUUCAUGAUGAGCAACUUGCAGUCUUUACAUGUGAACAACUUCUACAGGGAUUCGCUUUUGUUGCAGUAAUUGAUUUUGACGAAUUUAUCAUACAUGACGAAUUCAUGACAUACUCAGAGUUUUUAAAGACUUGGUAAUUUCUGGAACUGGAAACAUGACAAAUAUAUUCGACGCACUAAUACAAGAUAUGAAUCUUACAAAAUCCUAUAUGAAACAUAUCCGACGCACUCAUCCACGAUAUCAACGUUACAAAUACAUAUAUCUUCCAAGAAGGACCAAAACAUUAGAUACGUAUACGAUACACCCAAAGAAGGGAUAUAAGAGGAUUGAACUAACAUCACACAGUGUUGUCCUUCACCAUUACAGGAAUAGUCCGUCUAACUUUUAGUGGAAAUUCUGUUUAAGAUACACAAAGACCUUGGAUUUCAAAAUGUUAAAGAGUAUGCCCGUAUUAUAUUAUCACGUUGAAAUUGCUAUGAGGGAAAUUGGGAUCAUCUAUAACACAGAUCAUGUAUUCAGAAAUAUCAGAGUUUCAUUAAAGUAUUUUUUAGUU